Molecule: long non-coding RNA, 345 nt
Organism: Felis catus (domestic cat)
Lineage: Eukaryota; Metazoa; Chordata; Mammalia; Carnivora; Felidae
Exons: 2
Source: RefSeq, a predicted model, not a curated record
GAGAUCAUGACCUGAGCCGAAGUCGGACGCCCGACCGACUGAGCCACCCAGGCGCCCCAACAGGUUGUUCGCUGGAUCCUAUUCUGAGGGGAAGUGACCACAAUUCACCGUGCAGACGGACUUGUCAAUCAUCAGGCGAUCUAGGAGAGCGUGCAAGCGGGCAAGUUCAAACGCCAGUCUGGCUCUGGGGGAAUCAGACCACUGCCGCUUCUCCAUUUGUGAGGACGGUGCACUAAUGGCCUCUGGCAGGCUGCUCUGUGAAAGCACUGGACAGUGGAUGGAAGACCAGUAUAAAUUUUAAAUUGGUUUGUGCUGGAUAUAAAUAGAAACUGCCUCCAUGUGAAA